GCGUAACGCAAAUAACGUCUAUUAUUAUAGGCAGUUAACGAUCCAAGAGGUGAAGUGAUGAACAAGGUUGCUCAAUAUUACCGUGAACUGGUGGCCUCAUUAAGCGAGCGUUUACGCAAUGGCGAGCGCGACAUUGAUGCGCUGGUGGAGCAGGCGCGCCAGCGCGUGAUGCAAACAGGGGAGUUAACGCGAACCGAGGUGGACGAACUGACGCGCGCUGUCAGACGCGAUCUGGAAGAGUUCGCCAUGAGCUACGAAGAGAGCCAGGACGAUAGCGUCUUCUUACGGGUGAUUAAAGAGAGUCUCUGGCAGGAACUGGCGGACAUUACCGACAAAACCCAGCUGGAAUGGCGCGAGGUAUUCCAGGAUUUGAAUCACCACGGCGUGUAUC
Molecule: unclassified non-coding RNA, 391 nt
Filed under: uncultured fungus
Lineage: Eukaryota; Fungi
Description: partial internal transcribed spacer 1
Source: RNAcentral